RNAcentral lists this transfer RNA (72 nucleotides) under Pangasius djambal. RNAcentral describes it as "tRNA-Glu". It matches the Rfam family "tRNA". Rfam says of the family: Transfer RNA (tRNA) molecules are approximately 80 nucleotides in length. Their secondary structure includes four short double-helical elements and three loops (D, anti-codon, and T loops). Further hydrogen bonds mediate the characteristic L-shaped molecular structure. tRNAs have two regions of fundamental functional importance: the anti-codon, which is responsible for specific mRNA codon recognition, and the 3' end, to which the tRNAs corresponding amino acid is attached (by aminoacyl-tRNA synthetases). tRNAs cope with the degeneracy of the genetic code in two manners: having more than one tRNA (with a specific anti-codon) for a particular amino acid; and 'wobble' base-pairing, i.e. permitting non-standard base-pairing at the 3rd anti-codon position. Lineage: Eukaryota; Metazoa; Chordata; Actinopteri; Siluriformes; Pangasiidae. The record is from RNAcentral.
UCCCUGGAGGACCAGUGGUUAGGCCUGGGCGCUCUCAUCGCCAUGGCCUUGGCUCGAUUCCCGGCCAAGGAA